UGGGGAAUAUUGCACAAUGGGCGCAAGCCUGAUGCAGCCAUGCCGCGUGUGUGAAGAAGGCCUUCGGGUUGUAAAGCACUUUCAGCGGGGAGGAAGGCGGUGAGGUUAAUAACCUCAUCGAUUGACGUUACCCGCAGAAGAAGCACCGGCUAACUCCGUGCCAGCAGCCGCGGUAAUACGGAGGGUGCAAGCGUUAAUCGGAAUUACUGGGCGUAAAGCGCACGCAGGCGGUCUGUCAAGUCGGAUGUGAAAACCCCGGGCUCAACCUGGGAACUGCAUUCGAAACUGGCAGGCUAGAGUCUCGUAGAGGGGGGUAGAAUUCCAGGUGUAGCGGUGAAAUGCGUAGAGAUCUGGAGGAAUACCGGUGGCGAAGGCGGCCCCCUAGACGAAGACUGACGCUCAGGUGCGAAAGCGUGGGGAGCAAACAGG
RNAcentral lists this ribosomal RNA (429 nucleotides) under Chloroflexota bacterium. RNAcentral's name for it is "Chloroflexi bacterium partial 16S ribosomal RNA". It matches the Rfam family "Bacterial small subunit ribosomal RNA", at positions 355 to 776 of the family's 1533-position model. The record is from RNAcentral. Lineage: Bacteria; Bacillati; Chloroflexota.